CCUACGGGAGGCAGCAGUGAGGAAUAUUGGUCAAUGGACGCAAGUCUGAACCAGCCAUGCCGCGUGCAGGAAGACGGCUCUAUGAGUUGUAAACUGCUUUUGUACGAGGGUAAACGCAGAUACGCGUAUCUGUCUGAAAGUAUCGUACGAAUAAGGAUCGGCUAACUCCGUGCCAGCAGCCGCGGUAAUACGGAGGAUUUAAGCGUUAUCCGGAUUUAUUGGGUUUAAAGGGUGCGUAGGCGGUCGGAUAAGUUAGAGGUGAAAUCCCGAGGCUCAACUUCGGAACUGCCUCUGAUACUGUUCGGCGAGAGAGUAGUUGCGGUAGGCGGAAUGUAUGGUGUAGCGGUGAAAUGCUUAGAGAUCAUACAGAACACCGAUUGCGAAGGCAGCUUACCAAGCUACUUCUGACGUUGAGGCACGAAAGCGUGGGGAGCAAACAGGAUUAGAUACCCGGGUAGUC
This 460-nucleotide ribosomal RNA is filed under the name uncultured bacterium. RNAcentral describes it as "partial 16S ribosomal RNA". It matches the Rfam family "Bacterial small subunit ribosomal RNA", at positions 338 to 795 of the family's 1533-position model. The record is from RNAcentral.